This 503-nucleotide ribosomal RNA is filed under the name uncultured bacterium. RNAcentral describes it as "bacterial SSU rRNA". It matches the Rfam family "Bacterial small subunit ribosomal RNA", at positions 32 to 507 of the family's 1533-position model. The record is from RNAcentral.
AACGCUGGCGGCGUGCUUAACACAUGCAAGUCGAACGAGAAGAGAUGAGGAGCUUGCUUCUUAUUAAUUCGAGUGGCAAACGGGUGAGUAACGCGUAAGCAACCUGCCCUUCAGAUGGGGACAACAGCUGGAAACGGCUGCUAAUACCGAAUACGUCUUUUUGUCGCAUGGCAGAGGGAAGAAAGGGAGGCUCUUCGGAGCUUUCGCUGAAGGAGGGGCUUGCGUCUGAUUAGCUAGUUGGAGGGGUAACGGCCCACCAAGGCGACGAUCAGUAGCCGGUCUGAGAGGAUGAACGGCCACAUUGGGACUGAGACACGGCCCAGACUCCUACGGGAGGCAGCAGUGGGGAAUCUUCCGCAAUGGACGAAAGUCUGACGGAGCAACGCCGCGUGGGUGAAGAAGGUCUUCGGAUCGUAAAGCUCUGUUGAGAGGGACGAGAGACAUAAUCAGGAAAUGAGCUUUGUAGGACGGUACCUUUCGAGGAAGCCACGGCUAACUACGUG